GAUGAACGCUGGCGGCGUGCCUAAUACAUGCAAGUCGAGCGAACAGACAAGGAGCUUGCUCCUUUGACGUUAGCGGCGGACGGGUGAGUAACACGUGGGUAACCUACCUAUAAGACUGGGAUAACUUCGGGAAACCGGAGCUAAUACCGGAUAAUAUUUCGAACCGCAUGGUUCGAUAGUGAAAGAUGGUUUUGCUAUCACUUAUAGAUGGACCCGCGCCGUAUUAGCUAGUUGGUAAGGUAACGGCUUACCAAGGCGACGAUACGUAGCCGACCUGAGAGGGUGAUCGGCCACACUGGAACUGAGACACGGUCCAGACUCCUACGGGAGGCAGCAGUAGGGAAUCUUCCGCAAUGGGCGAAAGCCUGACGGAGCAACGCCGCGUGAGUGAUGAAGGUCUUCGGAUCGUAAAACUCUGUUAUUAGGGAAGAACAUACGUGUAAGUAACUAUGCACGUCUUGACGGUACCUAAUCAGAAAGCCACGGCUAACUACGUGCCAGCAGCCGCGGUAAUACGUAGGUGGCAAGCGUUAUCCGGAAUUAUUGGGCGUAAAGCGCGCGUAGGCGGUUUUUUAAGUCUGAUGUGAAAGCCCACGGCUCAACCGUGGAGGGUCAUUGGAAACUGGAAAACUUGAGUGCAGAAGAGGAAAGUGGAAUUCCAUGUGUAGCGGUGAAAUGCGCAGAGAUAUGGAGGAACACCAGUGGCGAAGGCGACUUUCUGGUCUGUAACUGACGCUGACGUGCGAAAGCGUGGGGAUCAAACAGGAUUAGAUACCCUGGUAGUCCACGCCGUAAACGAUGAGUGCUAAGUGUUAGGGGGUUUCCGCCCCUUAGUGCUGCAGCUAACGCAUUAAGCACUCCGCCUGGGGAGUACGACCGCAAGGUUGAAACUCAAAGGAAUUGACGGGGACCCGCACAAGCGGCGGAGCAUGUGGUUUAAUUCGAAGCAACGCGAAGAACCUUACCAAAUCUUGACAUCCUUUGACAACUCUAGAGAUAGAGCCUUCCCCUUCGGGGGACAAAGUGACAGGUGGUGCAUGGUUGUCGUCAGCUCGUGUCGUGAGAUGUUGGGUUAAGUCCCGCAACGAGCGCAACCCUUAAGCUUAGUUGCCAUCAUUAAGUUGGGCACUCUAAGUUGACUGCCGGUGACAAACCGGAGGAAGGUGGGGAUGACGUCAAAUCAUCAUGCCCCUUAUGAUUUGGGCUACACACGUGCUACAAUGGACAAUACAAAGGGCAGCGAAAUCGCGAGGUCAAGCAAAUCCCAUAAAGUUGUUCUCAGUUCGGAUUGUAGUCUGCAACUCGACUACAUGAAGCUGGAAUCGCUAGUAAUCGUAGAUCAGCAUGCUACGGUGAAUACGUUCCCGGGUCU
This 1372-nucleotide ribosomal RNA is filed under the name uncultured bacterium. Its description in RNAcentral is "bacterial SSU rRNA". It matches the Rfam family "Bacterial small subunit ribosomal RNA", at positions 28 to 1381 of the family's 1533-position model. The record is from RNAcentral.